UUUUCCCCCUUUCUCCUACACCUUGUUCCUCCUCUUCUUUUCAAUAACCUUCUGAGUCCAUUUAGUCCUGCUAGUGUGUGGUUACAGAGCCAUUCACUAGAACAUGGGCAGUCUACAAGGGACCACAUCCUUGAAGAAAACUUAUUCCCUCCUCAGCAGGUAUCAGUUAUCAAUUAAUUGCAUGCCAGUUAAGAUUGGAGCCUUUUGAGCAUGCCUUGUACUUAUACUGGAAUGUUGACUGGCUUCAUUUUGUAUAAUUCUUGUACUGGCAACCACAACUACUGUAAGUUCACUAGUGUAGGAGUCCUGUCAUAUUUAGAAGAUACCAUUUCACAACAGUCCUUCCAAUGUUCUACCAAAUUCUCAAAGAUUACUUUAAAAAGUUGACUUUCUCAGUUUUUCUCUAUACUUACAGUCAUUUAAAGUAAUGUAGGUAGAAUUCUUCCUUCUUUCUGUGAGUGACAUCUUCUGCUACAUGAUUGCAGAACUAGAAUAAUCUGUAUUUGGAAUCUAGCUCCUCAAUGGUCUAUGUGAGCAGGAGAGGAAGCCAAAACAAGCAAGAACACUUAUGGCCAGUAUCUGUGCUAGGACUACCUGGUGGCAAAGUAGAACAUCAUGGUCUUUGAAAGAAACUCUGCUGGGAGUUUGGAAUUCAUUCAUCUUUGCCUCUGAAGUUUCAAAGGAAAAAUCUCUCCUUGUCAAAGCUCCAGAACAAAAAAUAAAUGGCAUGUUCUUCUAUCCCAGAGCAAAAUAGCCUGAAGGGAAAUGGCAACAGCUGAGAAAAAGCAUCUUGUGCAGUUUUUGCUAGACAUACAUUCUGACACUGACCUUGCUUCUUACUCCCAUUGUGUCUCCCUCAGCCAGUGAUUUAAUUCCUCCUUCUCAUUAUGGACCAUGUGAAAUGUUUCUGUAUUUACCAAUGAUUAUGAAAAAACAGUUGUGGUUGUCAUGGUUUGAGUCUGAAGUGUUGUCAUAGGCUUAUUUUCUUAAUACCUACAUGUUCACAUUGUUUUGAAAGGCUCUGGAUUGUUUUGGCAUGGCAGACAUAGGUCAGAAUGGAGCUAGGAGGCAGGUCCUAGCCCAUUUCAUCCCUGCCAGCUUUCCUUUGUUUCCACUGUUUUUAUUCUAUCAUGACACAAGUGGCUUCCACCACGUUUCUGCCAUCAUGGUUUGAGAAGUCCCACCAAAGCCUUUCCCGUGAGGAUGGCCUGGAAGCCUCUGAAACCAUGGGUGCAAAUAAAUCCUCUCUCAAGUCCCUUCUGUCAAGUGUUGUUAUCAUAGUGACAAAAAAGUAACUGGUACAAAGCUGUACACUAAAAUGUUUCUGAUCUCUCCACCUAAACACCCAAGCAUGCACACAUGCACAAAGUGAGUGGAAGAGAAAGUGGGACAAGAAGGCGGGAAGUUAGUGGCAGCAUGGAACUGACUCUGGCUUAUCACAUAAUUGAGACUUAUUCCAGUUGCUUUAACAACUUCCCUUUCCCCUUCUCUUAGUCCCUGGAAACUAUAAUCCUACUCUUUAAUUCCAUGAGUUAGAAUUUAUAGAAAUCUCAUGCAAGUGUAGUCAUAUAGUAUGUGUCCUUCUGUGACUAGACAUUUUUAUUUCAACAGGUUAAUAUUAUCCAGGUUCAUCCAUGUUAUUACAAACUUCAGCAUUCUCUUCUUUUAGAACUAUUGUAUUAUCCUCAACUGAACUUCUAGAUAUUUUUCACAAAGAAUUAACAUCUGGAUCUCCAGUAGGUAAUAGCAUGUCAUUGUUCUCUGCAACUCCAUUUGCAAUAGUAGAAGUGGAAACACCAUAAAUAUCUAUCCAUAACAUGAAUAAAUAAAGUAAAAAUAUAGAGAUAGAGAUAGAGAUAGAUAUGUGAGCAUACCAUAGAAUGUUGUUUAGUCUUUUAAUAUUUGUAAAUCGUCAUUUAAAUCAAUAUAGAAUCAGGGAUUUAUUUUAUUUUAAAUAAUAUUUUUCAUUUAUUUUACAUAACUAUCAUAGUUUCUCCUCCCUCCUCUUCUCCCAGUCCUCCAUCCCCACCCACUUACCUCCCAACCCCAACCACCGCCCACCACCGCCACCCAAGGCUGCUCACUUUCCAUUUAUCCCCCUCCUCUUCCACUCCUCCACUGUCUACAGUCAAUAAGUGACAGGCCUCCCAUGGGCUUGAGCAAAGCAUGGCAUAUCAAGUUGUUGAGGCAGGACUGAGCUCCUUCCCUUGCAUUAAGAUUAGGCAACGUAAUCUGAUACGGGAAACAGAUUGCCAAAAUACAGCUGGGCUCCAGGGACAGCUAUUCAACUCACUGGUAAGAGCCCUACAAAGAGAACAGGCUGUACAAUUGUCACAUGUAUGUCUUCCCAUGGAAGCUCCCUAAAUGUUGGUCCAGAGUUCAUGAGUUCUCGGGAACUCAGGUCAGCUAUGUCUGUGGGUUCUCCUAUCAUGAUCCCCCUGGCUCAUACAGUCCCUCCUCUCUUUCUUCAGUGAGAUUCCCAGAGCUCAACCCAGUGCUUGGCUGUGGAUCUCUGAAUCUGCUCCCAUCGGUUACUGGACAAAAUAUCUCUGAUGACAAUUAGGGUAGUCACCAAUCUGAUUACAGUCGAUGGCCAGUUCAGGCACCCUCUCCACUAUUACUAGGAGUUUUUGCUGGUGUUAUUUUAAAUAAUGUCCCAACAUUUAAAAAUAAAAUAUUGCUCACUCUUACAAUGUAGAUUUCCAGCCUUGUCUUUGCAGUUUGGCAGCUUUACAGAACUGCCCUACAUUCCACUACAGGGAUAGCCCAUGAAGCUGAGGAGGAAUGGUCUCUUAAAACUAGGGUCCACUGUUGAAUUCAAGGGUCUCCAGCUUUCAAAUGGACACAGGUAAAUCACUUGUCCAGAUGGGUUCUCUCCAUGAUACUAAAACACAAAGGGAAAAGCAACUGCAGGAACUCUAGCUCAAACCAAACUGUGACUUCAAGAUUGAUGUAGAUGCUUAGACUCUCUCAAAAUAAGCAAUGAAUUACACAGUGGACAGUAUAACAACACACACUUGUAUAUAUUUUUAAAGUGUUAGUGAAAAAUAGCUAUAUUAGUCAGGUAUUACUAUUGUUUCAGAAUGAACUUUAAUCUUAGAUGAACUGAAUGUCCAGAGAAAUUUGCCUGUUUGAAUAAAUAUCAGUGUUAUUGUAUGCAUUACCUUGAGAUAAAGUCUCAAUGAUGUUGAAAAAGAGCCAGAAAAGUCAUAUACACAUCUUUGGGAAACCAGUAGAAAUGUAAAAUGAUCUCCUGGCUUCAAAUAUGCCUCUAGUCUUAUUUCAUAUUUUAUAAUGAAAAUCAACAGCCCCAACUUACCAAGAUCAUUUUGUUUGAAUGAUUUCUAUGAAAUCUCUUCCUCUGCAGAGGACCUGGGUCUCAUUCUCAGCAUUGACAAAGAGGCUCACAACCAGAUUUAUCUUCAAUCCCAAAGGAUCAUGUGCCCUUCUGGUAGUCCUGUACACUGAAUGCAUGUAGUGCAUGACACACAUGCAGGUAAAACAACCAUAAAUUAAAACCAAGGGGAAAAUGUUUUUAAAGAAAGAAAAUGAAACUUUGUAGACAUAUACCCUGUUCAAGAUUUUUCUAAUGUCUAAAAAUAUGUUUUUAGCCUUAAAUAUUGACUUGAUUUUUUAGCCUUAAAAAUUAUUGAUUUGAAGAAAAUUAGAGCUCCCCCAAGACACAGAUAAUAGGUAUGUGCAGAACAAAAGUUAAUGCACAGACAAUAGGUAUGUGCAAAACCCUCAGAUUCUCACAGCAACUCAUUGGUAAUAUUAAUCAAAAAAUUUUGUCUUCUGGUGUUCUGGUUUUGAAAAGUGAUCUUAUACAAACAAGAUAUGGUUAUCAGUGAAUAUACACACACAUGCUUUUAUGCCAAUAAUUUUACGUGUCAAUUUUAGAUGUGGGGGGGCAUUAUAGAUACCAGAAUUGUACCAAUAAGGAUUAGCUUGAUUCACACAAUUAAUCCUCACUGGAGACUCAUCACUCUGCUCACCCACCACACAUUUUCCACUCUCCACUUCAACUCUUAAUAAUUUAACUUUCUUGCCUGUCAUUUAAUGACAUAUCAUCACCCAGAAUAUUAAAUUAAUGGUCUGUGUAACCAAAGGGUCUCUCCUCAGAACCUCAAAAAGGUAGAUUGUUAGAAAACUGAGUUAUGAAACAUUAUGCAUCCAACUCAAAGCUCUGUAAGAUUUUGGUUUACAAAGUAAUUCUGAAAGGUUAUAUUUUUGUUGAGACAAUUUUGAUGUCUCAAAUAAGUUUUGGGCUUUCUUAAAAUGAACUGAGUUUAUCUGGAAGGAAGGUCACAGGAACCUCACUCCUUGAAAGGCUAAUAUGACAGCCAUGCUUGCCACAGGGCUUUUGCUCUGGGAUUAGAUGCAUAUGCUGCUGAGACAAACAGAGCAUUGCUUGGUUUUACUUACUGAAAUUGUUGGUUUAAAAAAAAACAACAACAGUGCAAUUAGGAUAUGUUACAAGCAGUACAAAAUAAAUAUUUUCCAUGUCCUAAGAUAACAAAGGAAUUAAUAAUAGGAAUUUGGGGUCUGAGGCUGAGAAGGUGGCUCAGUGAGUAACAAAGACCUCAGUUUGGAUCCCCAGCACCCAAGUUAAAAACUGGGCAUGGUUACAUGUGCCUGUAAGCUCAGCACUGCAGAAUCAGGGACAGGCAGGUUAAGGGGCUCACUAGCCAGUCAGUCUAGCCAAAAUGGUAGUGUCCAGGAUCAGUGAGAGAUCUUGUCACAAGCAGUACAAUAGAAAAACGACAAAGGAAGAUAUCCUCUGGCCUUGGCAGGGAUGACACAGGUGAAUGCAGGCACAUGUGCACACACACACACACACACACGCACAGACACACACACACACACACACACACACACACACACACAGUUGAGGUCCCAUCAGAGAUACCAGUGUGAUUUUCUAAAGAAGAGAGGUCAUAGAGUCCCUUGCUCAUAGAGUCCCCUAUUCUGUUAGUGUUGAAACACUGUCAUCCCAAACACAUGGACACCUCAAUAUCACAGGGGCUAAGCUGUCCUAAUUAUUAUGCAGUUGGAGGAAAUGAAUGGAAACCACACUGGAAAAGAAAGAUAAUUUAUUUUGAGUCCAUGGGAAAUUUCCAUUAUCUCUUGGGAAAGAAUUGCUUAGGAAAACAAAUGAAAUUGAAUAUGGUUGCUUUGUGAUAUAAGUUUAAUUUAUAUCUAUAAUUUAAUUGACUGACUUAAAAGCUGAUUCAGGCACUUAGGCACACAAUUCAGAGAGCAAUUGGUCACUUUUCUCUUAUUAUCCUUGUUCCAAGCAAGAUGCUACUUGGGGUUCCUAAGUCUUCCCUUUAUACCUUGUCUAGUUCAUUUGGUAUUUGUAUUUUAUAGAAUAAUUGCCUAUAAUUAGCAAACCCUGAUGAAAGCAUUAUGAUUAGCUAAAGCAGAUUCAUUUCCACUUCAUCAGUUUGGUUCACUUGACUCUGUACUCAAUACUCCUUUUUAACCACUGGCUUCUUUAUUUAAAUAAAUUAAAAGAAGCAUCAAAAUAUCUUCUCUAUGCCCAUGGCAGAAGGGGCAAAUCUGGGGUGUUUCAGGGUUAUGUUUUGAUCUAUUUGUGGGUCCUUCUAAGUACCUAUAAAUUUAUUUAUGCUAAGAACAUUUUUAGACUUGAGCUUUGUGUUCAAUGUGAAUUCAAAGGAAGUUGAAGCAGAACAUUUCUCUCUCAUUGAAGUAUCAAGUAUCAAAAUGGUAUUUGAUGUCCAAGGAACUUGUAAAGCCCUCAUUUUCCUUUGAGCAAAGAAGGUCAUAAUUUUCCACAGUCUAAAAGCAUUUGAAGUCCCAGUUUCUGUUUUUUCCCGCAAAUGCCCCCCCCCUUACUAUAACUGUUUCCGUUCUAGUUCUCCUCUCUUUCUAUCCCAACAUUCCUUGAAUCUCCUCACUAAAGUCACCCUGUAGUUUCACAUGCUCUCACUCUCCAGGGAAGAGACGGAAUCAGAAUGUGGAUGCAACACUGGGGAUUUACAUGGGGAUUGGUUGGAUGCAACACUGACCUUGAGGAAGAUAAAGCACCAAGAUAUGAGCUCGAUUACAGGCAUGGGGAUGGGGGAUGGGGAAUGGUGGUUCAGUUAAACUCCCUCACAUGUCCUCUAAAGGGUUCUUUCAUGUAGACUAUGAUGAAAACAGCAUUUGUUUGUUUUUUCUUAUCUGUCCCUUUACGGCAUGGUGACUUUACAUGGUAAUUAAGAAAGUCAUGAUGAUAAUGGUUAGGACAUUUUCAGAGCUGAAAACAAAACCACUUUGAGUUUAUUCUUCUUUGUAUUACCAUUAAUUCCUGCAUCUACCAAGAAGACCAGAAAUGAAUAGUUUAGUCACCUCUGUCUUGCAAUGUGUUUUUUAUAUUGUUUGAGACAAGUUCUCUCUGCAUACCCAUGGCUGACCUGGAACUCACAAUAUAAAUCAGGCUGACCAUAAACUCAAAGCAGCCUUCCUGCCUAUGCCUCCCAAGUGUUAGAACUACCUGUACACCCACCCUUACACAGGAUUGUGUACACACACACAUACACACACACUCAUGCACACAUGCACAAUCUCACACUUUCUCCCAAAAUACAGUUUAAUCAUUCCAGCAGUCAUCUUUCAGCAGUUAUAAUGACACUGAGUUGCUUUAAGAUACUUUCUCUAUAAAGGAGACACAUAUAUAGUGGUUGCUGGAGUUUUCUUGUACUGCCAGGUCCCACCACCCUUGAGCCCUAAAUAAACACAUAGGCGCUAUAUUAAUUAUAAAACUAUUGACUAAUGGCUAUGGAUUCUUAUUGAUUAGCUCUGUCUUAAUUAUUAACCAAUAACUACUAAUACAUGUAUUUCUACAUGGCCUUAUCUUACCAGAGAACACCUGGUGUGUACUAUCCUCCUGGUCCCUCUAUGGCGUCUCCCUGUGGUCCUUAUCUGUCUACAAUUCCCAGAAUUCUCCGCAUCUCCUAGUUCCAUCUAACGUCCUGCCUCUAAUGGCCAAACAAUGUUUUAUUCAUCAAUAAUUAAGAGAAAGAUAUAUACAGAAGGAUACCCCAAUCAUUCUGAGAAAGGGAACGAGGAGAUUAAAAAACUCCAGUGAUAAGUUGGGUUCAAUGGUUUGUAUCCCAUCCCUGUGGCUGGUUUGCCUUUCCACUGCUCAUACAUUUCCACACUUCAGCAGAAGCUUCAUGAUCAGUGAAAACAUUCACAAUUUUGGCCUUACAAUGAUUGGUUAAAUUGAUGCAGCCCUGAGAAAUUAUGUAAACCAACUCAAAGGCUUGAUUGUAAACCAUGACUGCUAUUGUAACCAGUUUGGUUUCCUUCCCUCUGUACUGUGACUCAUUUUGUUUCUCUCCUUAUGGUGAAAUAAACCUGAAUCUAAAUCUG
Long non-coding RNA from Mesocricetus auratus (golden hamster), 7380 nucleotides. RefSeq lists it as uncharacterized. NCBI's taxonomy places the organism in Eukaryota, Metazoa, Chordata, Mammalia, Rodentia, Cricetidae. The record is from RefSeq and is a predicted model, not a curated record. The transcript is spliced from 2 exons.